ACGGCUCAGUAACACGUGGACAACCUACCCUUAGGACGGGGAUAAACCCGGGAAACUGGGUAUAAUACCCGAUAGUCCUCGGCUGCUGGAAUGCACCGAGUACUAAAGCUCCGGCGCCUAAGGAUGGGUCUGCGGCCUAUCAGGUAGUAGUGGGUGUAGCGUACCUACUAGCCUACGACGGGUACGGGUUGUGAGAGCAGGAGCCCGGAGAUGGAUUCUGAGACACGAAUCCAGGCCCUACGGGGUGCAGCAGGCGCGAAAACUUUACAAUGCUGGCAACAGCGAUAAGGGGACCUCGAGUGCCAGGUUACAAAUCUGGCUGUCGUGAUGCCUAAAAAGCAUUGCAUAGCAAGGGCCGGGCAAGACCGGUGCCAGCCGCCGCGGUAACACCGGCGGCUCGAGUGGUAACCGUUAUUAUUGGGUCUAAAGGGUCUGUAGCCGGCCGGAUAAGUCUCUUGGGAAAUCUGGCAGCUUAACUGUCAGGCUUUCAGGAGAUACUGUCUGGCUCGAGGCCGGGAGAGGUGAGAGGUACUUCAGGGGUAGGGGUGAAAUCUUGUAAUCCUUGAAGGACCACCAGUGGCGAAGGCGUCUCACCAGAACGGACCUGACGGCAAGGGACGAAAGCUAGGGGCACGAACCGGAUUAGAUACCCGGGUAGUCCCAGCCGUAAACGAUACUCGCUAGGUGUCGGCCACGGUGCGACCGUUGUCGGUGCCGUAGGGAAGCCGUGAAGCGAGCCACCUGGGAAGUACGGCCGCAAGGCUGAAACUUAAAGGAAUUGGCGGGGGAGCACCACAACGGGUGGAGCUUGCGGUUUAAUUGGAUUCAACGCCGGG
Molecule: ribosomal RNA, 836 nt
Filed under: uncultured archaeon
Lineage: Archaea
Description: bacterial SSU rRNA
Rfam family: Archaeal small subunit ribosomal RNA
Source: RNAcentral